UCUUGCAAACUAAAGAAUGGCGACCGGCGCACGGGUGAGUAACACGUAUCCAACCUGCCGAUAACUCGGGGAUAGCCUUUCGAAAGAAAGAUUAAUAUCCGAUGGUAUAUUAAAAACCGCAUGGUUUUACUAUUAAAGAAUUUCGGUUAUCGAUGGGGAUGCGUUCCAUUAGUUUGUUGGCGGGGUAACGGCCCACCAAGACUACGAUGGAUAGGGGUUCUGAGAGGAAGGUCCCCCACAUUGGAACUGAGACACGGUCCAA
RNAcentral lists this ribosomal RNA (262 nucleotides) under uncultured bacterium. Its description in RNAcentral is "partial 16S ribosomal RNA". It matches the Rfam family "Bacterial small subunit ribosomal RNA", at positions 74 to 334 of the family's 1533-position model. The record is from RNAcentral.